This 87-nucleotide transfer RNA is filed under the name Epicoccum nigrum. It matches the Rfam family "tRNA". From Rfam's summary of the family: Transfer RNA (tRNA) molecules are approximately 80 nucleotides in length. The record is from Rfam by way of RNAcentral. Lineage: Eukaryota; Fungi; Ascomycota; Dothideomycetes; Pleosporales; Didymellaceae.
GGGCGCUUGGUCUAGGGGUAUGAUUUUCGCUUCGCAUCUAACUGAUGAGCUUGUGAAAGGUCGUGGGUUCAAUUCCCACAGCGUCCA